RNAcentral lists this non-coding RNA (2907 nucleotides) under Pongo abelii (Sumatran orangutan). The record is from RNAcentral. Lineage: Eukaryota; Metazoa; Chordata; Mammalia; Primates; Hominidae.
GAUCUGAACACUGAAGGGUUGGCAGGGGACCAGAGAAUAGAGGAAGCAUUGUAGGUUCUAGAGUGGAGAAGGGACCAUCCAAAAUGGAGUUUGAAAGAGAAUUCUGGCCUUUGUGUUUAGAGUCUGGAAUUGUUAAGAGUCUGAAGGCACAGAAUAAGACUGCAGCUAGAGCAAUUUAGGCGCCAUAGUUUGUCAAAACAGAGAUGGGAUCUCACUGUGCUGCCCAGGCUGGUCUCGAACUGCUGGACUCAAGUAAUCCUCCCAUCUUGGCCUCCCAAAGUGCUGGGAUUAUAGUGGACAACCUUGAAUGCACUGGUACUUUGUACCCUGACCUCUACUGUAAUGAAAACUCAACUUGGGCAAGGAAGUGAAAUUCUCCAAAGCAAGGAGGAGGGUGCUCUGAAUAGAUGGACUCUGAUUCUACUUACAAAACUGUGGGAAGAAACUGGAGCUUCCUCCCUCUCUGAGACAACGGUGCCACUGAGACUGCGUGAGAUGCGACGUAAGUUCUCUGCACUGUACUGCUCAUCCUCCCCACACUCCCUGCUGAGGCCUCGGCAAGGUGUAGCCUUCAAACACACAGACACAUACAGGCAGACACAUAAUACCAGACUUAUGGUUUUCCCACAGACAGUAUCCUCAGGGUAUGGGAAAAGAGUAGGGGAAGACUCAGUAGUAAUAGACACCUGAAUUAGAUGUAUUGGUAAGAUAGUGGCCAUGUAACAAUCUCCUCUAAUACAAAAGAAGCCCAAUCAUAGACCUUAUUUUCUUCUGAUAGCUCCAUAUCACCAUGCCUCUGCCUUAUCAUCAUCCCUACCUGUCACAUCUCUCCAUAAUUCCUUCCCCAACACACCACCCCAGGCCUAGCACCUUAGCACCUGAGGCUGCUACCUGAGAAGUACGCACUGUUCUGGCUUCAUGGAGACCAUGCUCCAUUUCUGCUGUUGGAGUCUUUGAGAGACCAGGAUCAUGGGCUGAGUGCAACCUCCUCCCCAUGCCAUCUGCAGAGCCUGAAGAGGAAAACACAAAUACAAGUUGAGGCCAUCUCUUCCCCUAGGGCCUAACCUCUAAGCCUAGCAGCACAAACUCAGGAGCUGUUGUUUCAUUAAAUAAUAAAUAUGCAUCCCUGAAUUCAACGGAGGAACAUGCUCCUGGAAUUUAGAAACAAGAGAGGUGGGCACGGUGGCUCACACCUGUAAUCCCAGCACUUUGGGAGGCCAACACGGGCAGAUCACGAGGUCAGGAGAUCGAGACCACCCUGGCUAACACGGUAAAACACUGUCUCUACUAAAAAUACAAAAAAUUAGCCGGGCGUGGUGGCAGGUCCCUGUAAUCCCAGCUACUUGGGAGGCUGAGGCAGGAGAAUGGUGUGAACCCGGGAGGCGUAGCUUGCAGUGAGCGGAGAUCGCGCCACUGCACUCCAGCCUGGGUGACAGAGCGAGACUCCGUCUCAAAAAAAAAAAAAGAAACAAGAAUUUUAGAAUAUGGAUAGUUUACUGAAUGUCCCCAUCUUGCUUCAUUUCAUUUUUGUAAACAUAAUCAGCUUCUGUCAGACGUAGGCUCAAGACUUAUAGACAGAGGAAAGUAUCUAACAGUGAUUUUUUUUUUCUAACACAGUGAUUUUCUAAAGUAUCUGUGGUGACAAAGGAAAUUAUCUCCAGUCUAGUUCAGAAUAGAAAUGAUCAUAAUAAUCAUCUAUCAAACCUCCUCAGUUUAUAUAACAGGAAAAUGAGUUCCAGGGUCUGAGAGUUUCGUAGUUUAACCAGGAUUAAAAUUAAAUCCUCUUGAUUUUCAGUACAGUACUCUUACCAUCUCACCUGGUGACCUCUUGUACUCUGAGAGCAGGAGCUCCUCAGGAAUGUUUUACAUAUGUAAUGCUCUUUUCCCCUUAGCUUCUCUCAAAUCAUUUAAAUUUCUAAACAACCACUAAAUGCUUACCUCUCUUCAAAAUCUUUCUAGAUUGUUCAGAGUUGCUCUAAACUGGAUUGGUGACUCCCAAGGGGCUAUCCCCAAUCCAACUAAUUAAGUUUUCCAUUCUGAAACUGUAUAUGCCCUGACCUACAUUUGAUACAUAUGUCCAUGGCCAAUUUAUGUCUUGAUUUGAUGAUUUUAUUCAUAUAUAUAUAUAUAUAUAUAUAUAUAUAUAUCUGGCUGAAGCUGAUAUUAUUCAUGUAAGUAUUGUAAGACAAGUUAUUUUCAGUAUUCCUGGGUACUUAAAGGCAGUGCUUUCAAUACCACUUCAGAUUCAUCUGGGAACUUUUAAAAAUAUAGCUUCCUGGAUGUUACCACAGACCUGAAUCAGAAGGUUUGUGGUUGGCGCCUGGGAAUUUUCAUUUUUGAAAGGUUCCCAAAAAGUCUAAGAAAAUAUCCUUGAACAUUAUUGGGGGAAAUGUGAAAUGUUACAGUCUUCCUAAAAAGCAACCUGGUAAUCUCCAAUAAAAUAAAAAAUAUAUUUAUCCUGUUGCCCAACGAUUCUAAUCCUGAGAAGAAAAAAAUACCAGUUCAUAACAUAUAUAUAAGAAUAUUUUCUACUGACAUAAUUUAUAGUAGCCAAGAACCAGAAAUAAAGUAAUGCCCAUCUAUAGAAGAAUAAAUACAUUAUGGUUUAAUACCAAAUAUUGUCCAGCCACUUAAAAAGACUGAACUGAGUUAAACCAGAUGAUCUGAAGGAAUUUUAAUGAAACACUGUUGCAUUAAAAGGAAAAAAAUCUGUAAAAUGAUAUACAAGCAAAAAAAACCACUGUUUAUGUAUAUGUAGGUCUACAUAGGGUUGUAUAAACAGAAAAUACAAUGUAUGCACACUAGAUAGUUACCUGUGGAAGUAGGGACUGGCUGUGAGAGAAGAGACAGGAAAAUUAUCUAUAAUAAAAACAGCAUGUGUGUUAUGUUCUUAUUUCUAUAAAAUUA